UGCCAGCAGCCGCGGUAAGACGGAGGGGGCUAGCGUUGUUCAGAAUUACUGGGCGUAAAGCGCGCGUAGGCGGCCUGUCGAGUCGGGCGUGAAAGCCCGGGGCUCGACCCCGGAGGUGCGUUCGAGACUGGCGGGCUGGAGUCCGGGAGAGGGGAGUGGAAUUCCCAGUGUAGAGGUGAAAUUCGUAGAUAUUCGGAGGAACACCAGUAGCGAAGGCGGCUACCUGGCUCAUUACUGACGCUAAUGCGCGAAGGCGUGGGGAGCGAAGCCGAUUAGAUA
This 279-nucleotide ribosomal RNA is filed under the name uncultured bacterium. RNAcentral describes it as "partial 16S ribosomal RNA". It matches the Rfam family "Bacterial small subunit ribosomal RNA", at positions 506 to 784 of the family's 1533-position model. The record is from RNAcentral.